This 1246-nucleotide long non-coding RNA is filed under the name Junco hyemalis (dark-eyed junco). Its description in RNAcentral is "lncRNA (ENSJHYG00000000056.1)". The record is from RNAcentral. Lineage: Eukaryota; Metazoa; Chordata; Aves; Passeriformes; Passerellidae.
CUGCACAGUUGAUGUGUCUCACAGUUCCUGACUAAGCAGAGCAAAUUCAGAUGUUGGGAUGAGUGACUGAUCCCAGUGCCCCUCUGUUUAUCCAAGCCUCUGCUGACCAAAGCAUGGAAGGAAGGCAAGGUGGGUGAGCUGUGAGCCACCCAUGGCUGUUUUACCCUCUCAAAUGGCACCUGAGGAAACUUCAGUUGUGUCUAAAAAUAUUAUAGUAUAAGCCCACUGCACAUCACAGGAGCUGUUGUAUGUUAUUCAUCUUCAUCUUGAUGCCCAUAUUGUCAGUAUUUGUUUUUUGUCUGUCACUUUUGCUUGACAAGAAGAUGUCAAGUUGGUAUUUAAUGCAGCCUUGAGAAUGUUUAUUGAGUAUUGUGGCAUUACUUUAAUGUUCAUGGAGUGCUGGGCUGCAGAGCAGCGCUGUGGAUCAGAUGAGAGCAAACCCCAGCAGCAGAGGCACAAAGUGCAGCUUCGUGCCUGAUGUUUCUCACCACAAACUGCUCUGUGGUGGUGGCAAACUCAGGCUGGCCAGGCAGCCCAGCAGCCAUGAGCAAUCCCUGCUGAAACACAGAAUAUAUCGAGUUCUCCAGGGAGUGCCCAAGGCCCUGCCCAAGUCACAGAUGUUGGUGCUAGCUCUGGAGUUUCCAGCUGGAUGGCUCAGCCUUGGAACCCUUGACGAAGACACAACACCUUGGAGCCAGAUGUCAGCAAAAUGUCCCCAGGUGACUUUGAGCAAAGACAAAUUGCUGACCAGCAGCCUUGUGGGGGCGCAUGCACAGGUGGUGGCCCCAUACUUCAGUGAUGUGUGUGCAGUUUUGGAUGCCAAAAUAGAAGAAAGAUAUAAAAUGAUUGGAGAAUGUCCAGGGCAAGGCUAUGAAGAUGGUGGAGGCCUCAAGCAGAUGCCACCAGGUGACUGGCUCAGGGCACCUGGUCUGUUCAGCUGGAGAAGACUGAGGGGAGACCUCCUUGCAGUCUGCAGCUUCCUCAUGAGAGCAAUCUUCCAAGAUGCUGCUUAGCACUAUCCCAGCCUAUUUCCUAAUUCCAUGCAUUCAAAGGAUCUUUCCUAUCAGUCAUGAGCUCUGGAAAUACAAGUUUGUUCUGCAAUCAAGACAGUUCUCCUUUUCUAUUGGGUUUGCAUGGCAAAAAGGGAAAAAAAUUCAGAGAGAAGCUGAGCCCAGGAAGAAGGUGGGAGGAUGGGGGACUGGGAAAGGUUUUAAGAUUUUGUUUUAUUUCUCAUUAUCCUACUCUG